GCGGAAGUAGCUCAAUGGUAGAGCGUCAGCCUUCCAAGCUGAAUGUUGCGAGUUCGAGUCUCGUCUUCCGCUCCA
This 75-nucleotide transfer RNA is filed under the name Acidobacteriota bacterium. RNAcentral's name for it is "Acidobacteria bacterium (activated sludge metagenome) tRNA-Gly". It matches the Rfam family "tRNA". From Rfam's summary of the family: Transfer RNA (tRNA) molecules are approximately 80 nucleotides in length. Their secondary structure includes four short double-helical elements and three loops (D, anti-codon, and T loops). Further hydrogen bonds mediate the characteristic L-shaped molecular structure. tRNAs have two regions of fundamental functional importance: the anti-codon, which is responsible for specific mRNA codon recognition, and the 3' end, to which the tRNAs corresponding amino acid is attached (by aminoacyl-tRNA synthetases). tRNAs cope with the degeneracy of the genetic code in two manners: having more than one tRNA (with a specific anti-codon) for a particular amino acid; and 'wobble' base-pairing, i.e. permitting non-standard base-pairing at the 3rd anti-codon position. RNAcentral also lists the same sequence under 1 other name. Lineage: Bacteria; Pseudomonadati; Acidobacteriota. The record is from RNAcentral.